RNAcentral lists this ribosomal RNA (440 nucleotides) under uncultured bacterium. RNAcentral describes it as "partial 16S ribosomal RNA". It matches the Rfam family "Bacterial small subunit ribosomal RNA", at positions 338 to 795 of the family's 1533-position model. The record is from RNAcentral.
CCUACGGGCGGCAGCAGUGGGGGAUAUUGCACAAUGGGGGAAACCCUGAUGCAGUGACGCCGCGUGGGUGAAGAAGUAUUUCGGUAUGUAAAGCCCUAUCAGCAGGGAAGAAAGAAGACGGUACCUGACUAAGAAGCCCCGGCUAACUCCGUGCCAGCAGCCGCGGUAAUACGGAGGAUGCGAGCGUUAUCCGGAUUUAUUGGGUUUAAAGGGUGCGUAGGCGGAAUAUCAAGUCAGCGGUAAAAAUUCGGGGCUCAACCCCGUCGUGCCGUUGAAACUGAUGUUCUUGAGUGGGCGAGAAGUAUGCGGAAGGCGUGGUGUAGCGGUGAAAGGAAUAGAUAUAACGCAGAACUCCGAUUGCGAAGGCAGCAUACCGGCGCCCAAAUGACGCUGAAGCACGAAAGCGUGGGUAUCGAACAGGAUUAGAUACCCUAGUAGUC